UAUUAAGUGCUUUGUUUUAAUUCAGUAACAUACUCGAGACAUUAUAAUUCAGGACGCUUGGCAUUGUUACCUAGGCAAAACCCCCCUGUGGUCUGUAGGUGCAGGGCUUAUCUCCUGAGUAAGCUAACUUUUAUUCUCCUAGAUGUGGCCUUUUAUUUACCAUGAAAAAAGAUGAUGGCUGGACAUUGUCAGCUCUGGAUAGUAGGUGUUUGCAGACUGUGCAUCUCCAUGAAUAUUUGAUGGAACUUCCUAGUUUCACCAGUGAAUCAUCACUAGUCUGCAUCAUGACCUUGAAAUGUCCUUGUGAAGGCCAUUUUGCUGGGGCAUUUGGUUGUUCUGAAAUAGCCUCGUUUGCUGUCUGGAAGUGCGUGUAUUGGUAAAAUACUGGUCUAUUCAGUGUAGCCUAAACACUAAGGUGGGCUGAUACUUGCCAGACUAGCUGCAAGAUGUAUUUCAGAAGUGCAAAAAUCAGUCAGUUCUUAUGACUGCCACAGAUCUGAUAUUUUUAAAUAGCUUAAAAGCAAGGCUGGCUUCGUAAAGGUGAGCAAAAAAGAAAAGUAUGCUGAUUUUUUUUCUGGAAAAAAUAAUAGGUGUUUAGUCUCAUGGCUGGCUGUUGGCAGCAGGGUUAACCUGUGGAUCUCUUGUCCUCAGCUUGCUCAUGAACCCCUUUUGAUGGAAUUAAUAGCAGGUUCAAGUGGGAGGAAGGACAGGGAGCUGUGCUGCACGAAGGAAAAUCCUCACAAGGAUCAGGCAAUCCCAAAUUGUAAGUGUAAGUAAGUGACUUAAGUGUCACUGGAUUUUUGCUGCUUCAAAACCUGUUUUCCCCCGUUCUUCACGUGGGUGUUUGAGGGCAAGAAGGGAGCUCUGCUUGCCUGUCCCUACGUUUGGCAAUCGGAGGGAAGAAGCGAGGGUUACGAUGAGAGAAGAUCCGGCUGGGGAGCAGGAUGGUGCAGGCCAGCUGGACGGAUGCACGCUCAGGUGCCAUGUGAGCUGGAGGGGGGGAAAAAACUAGAAUAAAAAGAAAAGCCCUAGCGCCA
This 1037-nucleotide long non-coding RNA is filed under the name Struthio camelus australis. RNAcentral describes it as "lncRNA (ENSSCUG00000007113.1)". Lineage: Eukaryota; Metazoa; Chordata; Aves; Struthioniformes; Struthionidae. The record is from RNAcentral.